This 497-nucleotide ribosomal RNA is filed under the name uncultured bacterium. Its description in RNAcentral is "partial 16S ribosomal RNA". It matches the Rfam family "Bacterial small subunit ribosomal RNA", at positions 28 to 507 of the family's 1533-position model. The record is from RNAcentral.
GAUGAACGCUGGCGGCGUGCCUAAUACAUGCAAGUCGAGCGAACAGACGAGGAGCUUGCUCCUCUGACGUUAGCGGCGGACGGGUGAGUAACACGUGGAUAACCUACCUAUAAGACUGGGAUAACUUCGGGAAACCGGGGCUAAUACCGGAUAAUAUAUUGAACCGCAUGGCUCAAUAGUGAAAGACGGUUUUGCUGUCACUUAUAGAUGGAUCCGCGCCGCAUUAGCUAGUUGGUAAGGUAACGGCUUACCAAGGCAACGAUGCGUAGCCGACCUGAGAGGGUGAUCGGCCACACUGGAACUGAGACACGGUCCAGACUCCUACGGGAGGCAGCAGUAGGGAAUCUUCCGCAAUGGGCGAAAGCCUGACGGAGCAACGCCGCGUGAGUGAUGAAGGUCUUCGGAUCGUAAAACUCUGUUAUUAGGGAAGAACAAAUGUGUAAGUAACUAUGCACGUCUUGACGGUACCUAAUCAGAAAGCCACGGCUAACUACGUG